GGCAAUCUGACUUCAAAGUUUUGUUUUAUAAUCAAUAUGUAAACAAGACAGCUGUCACAAACAAGAAGUUCUUUUUCAUUAAAUUUAUACUUUCCUUUUUUCUUUUCUUUAUGCUUUCAGAGAUCUCUGAGCAACAUGAAAUCCUCAGGCAGAAGGUUAUAUCGUCAGCUGUGCUGCCUAUUAUUAGUGAAUUUAGUUUAUGGCAGUAGAGAAUUUCAAAGAAAAGUACUUCAAUAUAUAGGAUAUACUCAUAAUUAUUGCUUUUGAAGGGCAUCUUUGCAACUGAUUGCGUUCAGGAAACUCUCCGUACAGACAGUUGAUGAGCUCUGGGACUUCAUGGAACAUAUAAGUCGUGGGCAAUUAAUCGCCCAAACUCGUAGUGCCUGCUUUUUUUAUUUUAACGAUUUUCAAAAAAUGUAUGUUGAUUGUUCAGCCUCAACGAGUCAUGAAGUAGGCAAGAGACAUGUAGCAUCCAAGAGAUCAAUUUUAUAUGCGGACAGAAAACCUUACAAGAUUGAAGGACCCUUGAGGGCCACUCUAAUCACAUCACAACUUGAUUACUGCAAUGCCUUCUAUGUGGAGCUCCCUUUGAAGACCACCCAGAACUUCAACUUAUCCAGAAUGCAGUGUCACAAGCAGUGAUGGGCGUGCUUCUAGGUGCCCACAUAGAAUCAGGGAAUCAGGAAGCAUGCAAAUACAACAACAACAACAAUAAUAAUAAUGACUCCUUGAAUCGGAAGCACAAAGCAGGAAGCGUAUCGUAAAAUAAGGCCAAAAAAAGAGCUCGCUUUACCAUAGAUGAUUCUGAAUACUAUUUCUUAUUAUCUUUUUCUGAUUUGAAAAACAUGUUGGGUAUAAUAAUUACAAACAUGAGCUUCUUCUUUUAACAGAGUUCCAACAUUUCCAUUUGCCAAUUCCAGUGCUUUAUAAAUGUUGAAUACUUCCACUCUGUUAGGAAUAAUAUCUUUAAAAUUAGCACAUGUUUGUAAAAUUCUUAUUCUUUUCUUUUGGGGAGAAGCGCUAAAUUCAGUGGAAAUCCUAUAUAUUUUUAUAAGCUAAUAAAUGAUCGUGCAAUA
Molecule: long non-coding RNA, 1076 nt
Organism: Crotalus tigris (Tiger rattlesnake)
Lineage: Eukaryota; Metazoa; Chordata; Lepidosauria; Squamata; Viperidae
Exons: 3
Source: RefSeq, a predicted model, not a curated record